UGAGGCCCUUUUUGGAGAGCAAGGUCUCACUCCUGUCUCCAAGGGCCGUACUGGGCUGGUCUCAAGAUGCCAGACUCAGUCCAACAGGCCCCACAGGACCUCGUAAGAGACACUGGACAGAACUUCCAAAAGCUUGUCAGGGAACUGCACUCUCAAGACUCCGCUGAGGCCAAGGCCUACCUAAGGAUUCUUGGAGAUAAAGUUGGAUACAUCAAGUCCAGUGAGAUGGAGCACAUGGCCCCGACCCUAGCUAUGCCAUGCAGUCUCUGAUGUCCAGCACUGACAAUGAGCUCAUUGCCCACUAUAUCUUCCUGGAUUAGAGUUUUUCCCUUCCCUCUGUGUCUGCCUUACCCCUGAAAUUCUCCUUGUCUGGUGUCUUCGCCCCUGGAGCUAAGGGAGGUCUGAACUUUUCCCCUGUCAUG
Molecule: long non-coding RNA, 422 nt
Filed under: Salmo salar (Atlantic salmon)
Lineage: Eukaryota; Metazoa; Chordata; Actinopteri; Salmoniformes; Salmonidae
Description: lncRNA (ENSSSAG00000112681.1)
Source: RNAcentral